UCCACCACCUUCUAAAAAUACUUUCUCUUGAGUCUCUAAACAUGACCAUAUGUGGUUUAAAAUGUAUCAAGUUAGUGUCAUGUUGUUUUAUUUUUAUCUUUUCAUCAAUUUUUUCGUUAAUAUUUCGUUACAUUAUAUAUAAAAAAAUUUCAGAUGCCCCAUCUAAGUUUAUCGAAUAUUCACUUUAGUGCCCUUUAGUUUUAACUUUGUCACUAAUUUAACGUAAAAAAUUAGUGGAAUAGAAAAUAAAAAAAUAAAAAUAAAAUCACGGGAUACUAAAUUGAUACACUUUAAACCAUAGGGUAUUAAAGUAAGAAAGUGUGAAACUAUAUGGGUGGUAUUUGAAGUUUUUUCAAAAAAAAUUUCAGUGGGUAGUUGUUUCUGAACCACGCUUUAUUGAGGAACCUCCAAUUCGCUGUUAUGUGUCAGUUUUAUUUUCUAUUUAAGAAUUAUAAUUUUUCUUUUCACUAAGAUACAAACUUUCAUUUAAAUUUUCGCAUUAAAAAAGUACCUAACAAAUUUUUGAACGGAGACAAAACUAACACAUGACACCGGAGUUGUUGGGUUAAUUGCACCACUAGCCCUGAAGUUUUGCCAAAGUUUCAUUUCAGUCCUAUUCUAUGAAAGGAAGCUUAGUUUUUGUGUCAAUUUGGCCUAUUUCAUCAUCUGAUGUGAAGCUUAUGGAUAGUAAUUCAAUAUUUUCUGACAAAAAAUUUGACAUCAAAAAUUUCUUUCCACCUGAAAAGAGUAUUUGGUGUUGCAAUGGGCUUUUAUUCUAGAAAAGAUCAGUAAAAAUCAACAUAAGAUAACAAAAUGGACCAAUUUUGGUAUAUUUGUAAAAAGUUUAGAAUGCUUUAAAAGUUCAAUUUUGAUAAAAAUUUUGCGGCUACAAAUACAAUUUAACCCUUUUUUUUGCCAAAUUGAAAGGAGACCCCUCAACUAAAGAUUAUUUUAAAAUCAAUCCUUGUACAAUUUUUACUACCCUUUUUCAAGUCCUAGAAGUUUUCAAGGAGUGCUUUGGGAAGUCGUAAUUUAGUAGAGCCUUUUUUCUCUGGUGUAGUGUGCAAUUCUAUUUUUAUAUUCCAAAAUCAUUCCCAAAUUUUUAGAUGUAUUAAGGAACCCACAAUUUCUUUUUUCUUUUAGAUAGAGUUACAUAUAUACCCCUCCGAAAUUAUUUAUUUGCCAAUGGUGAGUUGUAAAUUUUGUAAUUUCAUGCCAACCCUUCAGAAACUCGCUUAUUACAUUUAUCGCCUUGGAAAGCUUAAUUUUCAUAUAGGUAAACUUGAAAUUGAUAGCUGAUCUUUUGUUUUCUUUUCUUUUGUUUUUGUUUUUUUUUUAGAUUGAGACCCCCUCAACUUUUCAAUUUUGGAAUUAACUAAUUUUAGUUUGAAAAAUUGGAAAUUCACUCAAAUUCGUUGGUGAUUUCAUAAAAAAUUUAAUAGCUUUAGUUAUAUUUUAUUAAGAAUAGUUAGACUAAUUAAUAAUUGAUAACUUAUGGAGAGCCGUUAAAUUUGAUAAAUUUUUUAGGUAUAAAGGCUCAAAUAAAGAAUGUUGAGGAUCGCGUCGUCUUUACACGAGUUUAGAUUAAGAUUAAGAUUCUAAUUUUCUUUCAACUUUUCACCUCACCCAGUUAUAGAGUUGACAAUCUAACUUAUUGUUUACAAGUCAAUUUAUGUUCGACUCGUUAAUAAACAAACUAAACACAGACUAAAUUUUUCAGCUCGAUAUUUUAACGAGCCAGCUCGUGCUUGGCACGUUUAACAAACGAGUGAACACGAGCCGGCCUCAGAUCGCUGGUUCGGCUAGUUGACAACCCUAGUCAAAUUGGUAAAAGUGAGAAUACAUAGGUUCAUCCUAAUAAAAGAAGCAUCAUUUGUACACAAUCAUACCCCUGAUANCAUUGCAUAUCUGCACUUGCUGCUAGUACCUGUUCUCAGCUUUGGAUUCCAAGAAGUGGACCAAAAACAUGAGCCAAAGCAAUUGAAAGAAGCCUUAGUAAAGUGUUAGUAUUAUUUCUUGGGAACUGGGUUCAAUUGUUCCACCACCUUCUAAAAAUACUUUCUCUUGAGUCUCUAAACAUGACUGUCUGUGGUUUAAAAUGUAUCAAAUUAGUGUCCUGUGGUUUUAUUUUUAUCUUUUCAUCAAUUUUUUCGUUAAUAUUUCGUUAUAUUAUAUAUAAAAAAACUUCAGAUGCCCCAUCUACGUUUAUCGAAUAUUCACUUUAGCGCCAUUUAGUUUUAACUUUGUCACUAAUUUAACGUAAAAAAUUUGUGGAAUAGAAAAUAAAAAGAUAAAAAUAAAACCACGGGGCACUAAAUUGAUACACUUUAAACCACAGGGUACUAAAGUAAGAAAAUGUAAAACUACAGGAGUGGUAUUUGAAGUUUUUUCAAAAAAAAUUUCAGUGGGCAGUUGUUUCUGAACCACGCUUUAUGGAGGAACCUCCGAUCCGCUGUUAUGUGUCAGUUUUAUUUUCUAUUUAAGAAUUAUAAUUUUACUUUUCUCUAAUAUACAAACUUUCAUUUAAAUUUUCGCAUUAAAAAAGUACCUAACAAAUUUUUGAACGGAGACAAAACUAACACG
This 2583-nucleotide long non-coding RNA is filed under the name Ananas comosus (pineapple). RNAcentral's name for it is "long non-coding RNA (ACOM_LNC006771)". Lineage: Eukaryota; Viridiplantae; Streptophyta; Magnoliopsida; Poales; Bromeliaceae. The record is from RNAcentral.